RNAcentral lists this transfer RNA (76 nucleotides) under Streptomyces globisporus. RNAcentral's name for it is "tRNA-Arg". The record is from RNAcentral. Lineage: Bacteria; Bacillati; Actinomycetota; Actinomycetes; Kitasatosporales; Streptomycetaceae.
CGGGCACUGCGCCACCGAUGACCGGGCAAGCCCUUCUCCGAGAAGGGCUUGCCCGGAUCGGGCCAAGGGUGCCCGC